UACAGAGGUCCCGAGCGUUGUUCGGAUUCACUGGGCGUAAAGGGUGCGUAGGUGGUGAGGUAAGUCGGAUGUGAAAUCUCCGGGCUCAACCCGGAAAUGGCAUUGGAAACUACCUUGCUGGAGGAUUUGAGGGGGGAUUGGAAUACUUGGUGUAGCAGUGAAAUGCGUAGAUAUCAAGUGGAACACCAGUGGCGAAGGCGAAUCCCUGGAAAAUACCUGACACUGAGGCACGAAAGCUAGGGAGCAAACAGGAGUUAGAAAGCCCU
Molecule: ribosomal RNA, 266 nt
Filed under: uncultured bacterium
Lineage: Bacteria
Description: partial 16S ribosomal RNA
Rfam family: Bacterial small subunit ribosomal RNA
Source: RNAcentral